Molecule: long non-coding RNA, 1460 nt
Filed under: Bos indicus x Bos taurus (hybrid cattle)
Lineage: Eukaryota; Metazoa; Chordata; Mammalia; Artiodactyla; Bovidae
Description: lncRNA (ENSBIXG00000013091.1)
Source: RNAcentral
ACUGAUCCUGACUUGAGGGAGGAAGUUCCAAACCAGACUCAGCCUCUCCAUCCUUUGAGGCUGAAGACUGAGUCACUCUUCCUGUUACUGUGAAUUCAGGACAAAGCGUCCCAGUGCUAACCACAGAGUCCGGUCUACUCACUGAGGAAACCCCCGCAGUGGUCUCACACAGGAGAGGAAGGCCUGCGGUGCUGACCGAGCUCUUCGUCCCACUCUCUGCUGGUUUCCCCACCUUGCUGUCCAGCCCUGUCCCCCUGCAAAGCUCACAAAACCAGGCUCAGCUUGCUGUUGACCUAGGAACACUGUGAUCGCCGCUUUAAACACAAGCCCUCUCAUACACAUUAUAUUCUCCAAGGUAGCUAUUUGUAUUUCACAUUUAAAUUGAGGAGAUACACUUACAAUGUUUACACUGUGUACCCAGCGUCACACAACCACUAGCAUCUAUAAAAGUCACAAUUUUUUGCAUUUUUUUAACUCACCUGAACAAGCUUUGUCCCCCUCAGUGCUAGUCUGUGCUCUCGUGCAAAGUGGGAAGAGAGAAAGAGAUUGCUCUUGCCUUUUAUUUUUCUUUGCCUUUGUGUGUCUCUUUGUUUAUUUUUAAAAAUUUAUAUUGGAGUAUAGCAGCUUUAUAAUGGGCUAGUCUCUACUGCACAGUAAAGUGAGUCAGCUGUACACACACAAUCCCCUCCUUCCCGGAUUUCCUUUCCAUUCAGGUCGCCGCAGAGCACCGAGUAGAGCUCCCCUGGGCUAUGCAGCAGGCUCUCACCGGUCGUCUAUUUUACACAUAGUGCUCUGUUGUUGUUCGGUUGCCCAGCCCUGUCCGACUCUUUGCGACCCCACGGACUGCAGCACUCCAGACCUCCCUGGAAAGGUUCUUAUCCAUUGCACUGGUAGUGGCAUACAGUCAUCUCAUCCUCUGAUGCCCUCUUCUCCUUCUGCCUUCAAUUUUCCCCCUCAUCAGGGACUUUUCCAAUGAGUCAGCUGUUCUCAUCAGAUGACCAAAAUACAGGAGUUUCAGUUUCAGCAUCAGUCCUUCGGACGAAUAUAUCAAUAGUAUAUAUGUAUCAAUCCCAAUUUCCCAAUUCAUCCCCCACUUUCCCCUUGCUAUUCAUGUUUGCUCUCUACCUCUGUGUCUCUAUUUCUUCUUUGUAAAUAAGAUCUAUACCAGUUUUUUUUUUUUCAGAUUACACGUAUAUGCAUUAAUACACACAAUUUUUUUUCUCUUUCUGACUUCAGUCUGUGUGACAGCCUCUAGGUGUGUCCACCUCUCUGUGAAUGACCCGACAGCACUCCUUUUAAUGGCACAAUGCAGAAGCAGCACCCAUCGCCUGCCAACAUCUCGUUGCCUCCUCUCUCAUCCCAUCGGGCAGAACUUAGCUGACGGGCUCAGAAUGCCCUCACCUCCUCACGUGUCCCACCAAACAAGUGAGUCUGCUGAUGGCCCAGUUGACAUCAAAGUG